CUACGGGUUGCUGCAGUGGGGAAUAUUGCACAAUGGAGGAAACUCUGAUGCAGCCAUGCCGCGUGUGUGAAGAAGGCCCGAGGGUUGUAAAGCACUUUCAAUUGGGAGGAAGGUUAUGUAGCUAAUACCUGCAUAAUUUGACGUUACCUUUAGAAGAAGCACCGGCUAACUCUGUGCCAGCAGCCGCGGUAAUACAGAGGGUGCAAGCGUUAUUCGGAAUUACUGGGCGUAAAGCGCGCGUAGGCGGAUUGUUAAGUCAGAUGUGAAAGCCCUGGGCUCAACCUGGGAACGGCAUUUGAUACUGGCAGUCUAGAGUUUAAGAGAGGGAAGGGGAAUUUCUAGUGUAGCAGUGAAAUGCGUAGAUAUUAGAAGGAACAUCAGUGGCGAAGGCGCCUUCCUGGCUUAAAACUGACGCUGAGGUGCGAAAGCGUGGGUAGCGAACGGGAUUAGAUACCCGUGUAGUC
Molecule: ribosomal RNA, 464 nt
Filed under: uncultured bacterium
Lineage: Bacteria
Description: partial 16S ribosomal RNA
Rfam family: Bacterial small subunit ribosomal RNA
Source: RNAcentral